RNAcentral lists this non-coding RNA (101 nucleotides) under Spirochaeta sp. RNAcentral's name for it is "NiCo sequence". It matches the Rfam family "NiCo (Nickel/Cobalt) riboswitch aptamer". The record is from RNAcentral. Lineage: Bacteria; Pseudomonadati; Spirochaetota; Spirochaetia; Spirochaetales; Spirochaetaceae. RNAcentral also lists the same sequence under 1 other name.
GUAUAUAAAACUGAUCAGGCCGCACCGGUACAGGUGUGUGGAGCCGGGCUGGAAACAGCAACAGGAAGCUGCGUUCCUGCUGCAAACCCUGUGGGACAGAA